UUGACUAGGCUUUCGUAUAGGAGUUAUGGGCAUUUCCAGGGGUAGUUUGAUGGCCCUGUAGGUAGUCUGACUCUUCUUCUGUACCAUGAACCUAAAAAAAACGCCCAUGAGAACCCGAUUGAUCUCUUUUCUGGCCUUUGGAAAUGGUGAAUGUGAGGUACGAAGCGCGCCUGAAAAUGUACUGACAUGAGUGUGCUUGGACUCUGAAAUGUUCAAGAAUUUCAAUUAGUAUGACCUUUAAGCCUGUUCAAUUCGUUCUUUUAUUGCUAACGACGUGUGGAAAAAAAGCUAAAGGAAGAGUUGUACGAGGUUGAGAAGCAGGCAGAAUUCUAUAGGUGUGUUAUGGAAACUUUAUUGCAUAUCAGCCCAGGGGUGUAUAAACUAACCUUAUAAUAAUAUUGCUUCUACAACUGCCGGCUCUCUCCCAUGCAUAAGUUGUAACAAAGAAAUAGUACAAAUAAAGGUGUUGGUUUGAAUUGAUAUAGUGAGUUUUUACACCAAUCCUUAUAUAAAACUAUACUGCCCUUUCCCAUGGAUAUAAAAUGACAUUCCAGAAGCCACCAAUUACCUUUUUUUUUAAUUGUAACAAAGAAAUACAAAUAAAUAUGUUGAAAAGAAUUGGUAUAGUGAGAGUUUAUAUACAACCACUAGCUUGCCCUUUUCCCAUGCACAUAUAAGAUAACAAACAUGAAACAACCAACUAGCUUUUUUUUAUAAGUUGUAACAAAGAAAUACAAAUAAAGAUGUUGAAAUAUAUUGGUAUUGUGAGAGCUUCUACAUCAGACCUUAUUAUACAACCACUAGCUACUGCCCUUUUCCCAUGCACAUAUAACAAACAUGAAACCACCAACCAUCUUUUUCUUUUCCAAGUUGUAACAAAGAAAAUGGAAAUAAAGAUAAACUGAGUUGAUAUAAUGAUUGCUCUGCCACACAUCCUUCCCUCUUAAAUUCUUUCCACAUUGCAGAACUAUUCAUAUAUUGAUAGUAUUUAAACACACAUUUCCCCCUGAUUUUUUUCACGUCGCAUUACUACUGAUAUAUUGAUAGUAUUUAAACGCAUCUUCCAGUGGUCCAGUGUAACAUGAUUGCCUCCUUUAAAAACAAGCUCGACCGACACUUCCUUCAACUUAACAUUAACUAUAGUAGAAAUGCAAAGUUUUGAAGCUAUCUGAUUAGUGUAGAAUCAUUUAGGUUUAAGGACAGAUCACCUAGUCUGGACCAUGGGGUGUGUGUGGUCUGAUUUUCUAUGUAAAUUUAUGUAAAUCUUAUUAUUAUGCAUGGCACGGGUCCUCCCUUCACCCCAAUAUGACAACAGACGCACUGCCAUAUAAGGACAAAUAUCUGAACUUGAGCUAAAUCUUUCAAGGUUGUUAUAAUUCUUGGUUGUCAUCCUCCUUCCCAACAUUCAUUACAGACCUUAUAUAGACAUUAUGGUCCUGAUGAUGUGCCUGUCUUAACAUAACAUUGCACAAUUCUAAGAAAAAAUAUAGUACCAUAUCUUACGUGGGGUGACAAAAUAAAUUAAUCAGCAAAACAGUUAUUUAUACGUGGCUCCAAGUUGCCUUUAACCCGUCCGCUGCGAUUGGCAUGGAUUUAGCCUUCAAUGGUAUCCUGGUAACAUAUACUCCCAGGUCUUUCUCUGCCUCUGUGGUGGAUAGUGGAGUCUUUCCCAUGUGGUAUUGAUAUGCUGGAUUUCCCCUCCCAAGGUGCACAACUUUACAUUUUUCUUCAUUGAAUUGUAGCAGCCACGUUUUGUUCCAUUCCUGUAGCUUGGUCAUGAUGUCUUCUUGUAGGAAAUCCGCAGUCAAGGAGUUAACUUAAAAAAUACCUUUCGCUAUGCACCAUCCGUACACUCCAUCAGGUUUAUGUACCUUGCAGCAGCACUCAAAAAGUGGGAAUACCAAGGAAAACUAGUACAUAAGAAAAAAGCCCUUGAAUCUAUACCCACCACCAGUCCAGGACAACUUAACUUAAUGGGAACAAUCUUUUGACAUUAUCUGGUGUUGCUUAAAAGAACAAAGGAAAUGAGGCACUUAUAAAUACAAGUAAAUGGCCAAACUAAGUAAGCAUCAAUCGCCUUACUUAUACAAAAAUAAUUACAUACUGUAGUCCAAUUCAGUUACGAAGGCUGUUUGGGUGGGGACAGUUCGGGGUGCUCCCUGGCCAUAGCCCUGACAAACCUUAUUUAACUUAUACAGAAUAUUUGGUACAUAAUUUCAAAUAGUACGUAGCUGACUUAUGAGAGAGAGUGAUGUACUGGGGGUGAUGUGGCAACACUGCAAAGAGGUUCAGGCCCCACCCAAACUGAGUUAACAUUUGUGUCAUACUAUAAAUCGUACAAUCUUCUUCACAUUUGGUAAAGGAAACAGGCACCCAAGUCUUAAUAUUGCUGCUAACUUCUUUGGCUCUGUGAAAGGAUGAUUUGGGUUACAUAGCAGUACUUGUAAUGUUUUGGUAACAGUAACACUAACAAAAUUUACUGAUAUGUGGAAGUAUGAUCGCUCGCAUGCACACACACACACAUAUAAGGUAAAAAAGAGGGAGAUAAUAUGAUUGCAGUGUUCAGGGUGAUGAAGGGAGUGGAUGGGUGUGUUUGCAUGGGAUGGGGUCCUAACUGGGGGAUAUGAAAUGAAACUGAGAAAGACAGAGUGCAUGAAAAUAACCAUCAAUAAAUAGUCUUCCCAAUAGAUGCAUUGACCCUUGGAAACAACCUGGGCCAAAAGGUUGUCCAGUUUCAAACAUAUGAAGCUAAAUUUGACUGCUUGAGACUCAGAGAUGGGACCCCACAAACACAAGCAAAGUAGCUCACUUCAUGUAUAUCACAGGCCAAUGCACAUAAACAUAAAUUUUUGUAUUGAUGGAUCUCAAAUUCAUAAUACAAGUGAACGAUGCACUCCUCAACAAUCAGUGUCUGACUACAGCCUCUUUGAAAAUAUGGAGUCUAUCCAUCCACAGAAAUGGUGCCCUCAAGGUACAAAAUGUGUAGUUUCAUUAAGUAAGGAAUGUGAAGGCACUGUUGCUGUUAAUUCAUUGCCCUAGAUACAACCUUAUAUCAAGAGGUCCUACAAGAGACACAUUAGAAGACUCAAGAGAUGAAUGAAGUGGGCUGAAAGUCAGUGCACACAUGAUUAGUUAUGUUAUUUAUUGUGGACUUUGCUUUGGGCUACUAGUCUGAAUAUUUAUGUUAAACAGAGGCAGUGGCUGGGUGGACAAAGCAUCAAAGUGACAGAUGACUAUGGUACUAACACUCCUGAGACAUUAGGAUAAAAGAUGUGUCCUGCAUCAUCCUGUGUACAAAUAGGGAACUAAGAGGAUCACAGUCCAUUGCUGAGGUUGGGGACUGACCCAUCAACUGUUUAUGCAAAGAAUACUUGUCAAAAUAGUCACAAGGCUGUUUCUAAAGCUGCAUGGGAAAUAGGGUCACUAACUAUCAUUUUUAUUGAUAAAUUUCCCUUUUACCUCAAAACAGAUCCUUGUGAAUGUUACUAUUUGUGAAAUAAAUCAAUUUAUAUGAAAAAAAACAUGGAAAUGUAUGAAUAAUGAUAUGAGAGCCUGUUGUAAAAACAGCUAAUAUACAAAGCAAAACUAAAUUUUUGUUGUAUCAAGUAUGUGAAAAAAAAAAAUCAGUAAAGUAGUGCUUUCAUUUAAUCCUAAGAAUGGUUAUACAGUCUUAGCUUCCUAACCUUGAGAUUGUUUAAACCCUCCCUGUUGCAUGAUAUGGUGAUAAAAUACCAAUACAAGAAUAAUAUGACAAAAAAUAAUAUGCCAUUUGCUCUCUACACUUUGUUCUGCAGCUUAAAGGCUUUAUGCACAUCAAAGUUCACACAGGAAGCUGGUGCUCUCAGAAACUUUAGCAUGCCUUAACACAUAACUAACACCUCCCAUAUAAUAACAAAGAGAACAUAUUUCAAACCAGGCAUUACCAGAUAUGCACUACAUCACUGGAGCCAGUACCAACCACCACAAAGAAAACCUGUAGCAGUGCCACUCAGAGAGCCAACAGUGGUGCAGUUAUUGCCUUCAGAAAAAGCAGCAGAUACCAUUUAAUGCAUAAAGUAUCAGCAGCAGCACUUUCCAACACACACACAAAGCUAAAGGUGAAAAAGAUUGCUACCUACAUGCAAUUAAGCAAACUUCAGCAACUCUUGUCAAUGGGAUCAUGGGCAGGCAACACAGGCUGAACACAAAAUAUGAAAAUUACAGCAUCAAUAUAAAAAUCACAAGCAUCAAUAACAGGUUCAUGCCAACCACCAGCAAACUUUAAGAUGGAGAGGGUAGCCCGCUGCUGCUGCAGGCAUAACAAAAUCUGCAUGCGGUCACACAGCAGCAGAGCUCAGUGCUGUGAACAUAAGAUGAAAGCCUCACUACUUUUAUCUAGUCACUGGGUUCACAACCAAAGCAGGAGCACAUGAAAUAAAUUAUAAUAGCAUGUGUGAAAUAGGUAUAGGAAGAGUUGAUAAGUAGCUGUGUAAACUCCAAAUUGAAGUUAAUCUAUAGCAUAUUACUGAAGUGGAUAAUCCUGUUGUGCUGACAGAGAGUGAAUGUUUUUCCUGAAAAUCUUGAGACAAAUAAAUAUUACUGAGCUAUUCUUAACACUUUCUUUUCUGUCAUAGCCAUGGUUCGAUGAAACACCUCUACAACAACACAAAAUUAAAAGUCAUCUUCCUGGCUAUAAAAGUUCACUAGCUCCCAAUGCUAUCUUCAAGGUGUGGUGAGUAAGACUGAACAAUGAGCUGUAAAAAACCUGCCGGCUGAGCACUUGUUAUUUUAGUAAGGUUGAUAGGAGGGGUAACCCUUUGUGGGACAUUACUGCAAAUAAGUUUAAAUGGAGACAUCAUAUGGCUAUAAGCAUUCAUCAAUAUGCAAAUAGUAGCCAUUUGAUAAUAUUCUUCCAUUGUGUCGGACUGUAUCACAUCACUUGAAGAUAAUUUUGUUAUUGUACCUUUACUGAAAUAUUUAUGCCUGCCUUAACUCAUCAUUUACAUUCUAACACCUAGUUAUUCAUGGCAAAGUGAGGGGUAUUACAAAGCUACCAAACUGGCCCUUGAUUAAUUUGUUUAAUCUACCAUCUGGCCAGAGUCAUGACUGAAAAAAAGUUAUAUUUUAUAUGAACUUAUAAUUCAACUGCAGUGUUUCUAUUUAAGCAAA
Long non-coding RNA from Eriocheir sinensis (Chinese mitten crab), 5148 nucleotides. RefSeq lists it as uncharacterized. The record is from RefSeq and is a predicted model, not a curated record. The transcript has 2 exons. Lineage: Eukaryota; Metazoa; Arthropoda; Malacostraca; Decapoda; Varunidae.